ACCACAACGGGUGGAGCCUGCGGUUUAAUUGGAUUCAACGCCGGAAAUCUUACCGGGCCCGACAGCGAUAUGAAGGCCAGGCUGAAGACUUUGCCGGAUUAGCUGAGAGGUGGUGCAUGGCCGUCGUCAGUUCGUACUGUGAAGCAUCCUGUUAAGUCAGGCAACGAGCGAGACCCACGCCCACAGUUGCCAGCGUACUCUCCGGAGUGACGGGUACACUGUGGGGACCGCUGCUGCUAAAGCGGAGGAAGGAAUGGGCAACGGUAGGUCAGUAUGCCCCGAAUAUCCCGGGCUACACGCGAGCUACAAUGGUUGGUACAAUGGGUAUCUACCCCGAAAGGGGAUGGUACAUCUCCUAAUAGCCAAUCUUAGUCCGGAUUGAGGGCUGCAACUCGCCCUCAUGAAGCUGGAAUCCGUAGU
This 420-nucleotide ribosomal RNA is filed under the name uncultured Methanosaeta sp. Its description in RNAcentral is "bacterial SSU rRNA". It matches the Rfam family "Archaeal small subunit ribosomal RNA", at positions 878 to 1295 of the family's 1478-position model. The record is from RNAcentral. Lineage: Archaea; Methanobacteriati; Methanobacteriota; Methanomicrobia; Methanotrichales; Methanotrichaceae.